Molecule: ribosomal RNA, 235 nt
Filed under: uncultured bacterium
Lineage: Bacteria
Description: partial 16S ribosomal RNA
Rfam family: Bacterial small subunit ribosomal RNA
Source: RNAcentral
UGAGCAAUCUGCCCUUCUCAUCGGAAUAAGCGUUGGAAACGACGUCUAAUGCCGAAUACGACCUCCUUUCGCAUGAUCGGAGGUGGAAAGCUCCGGCGGAGAAGGAUGAGCUCGCGGCCUAUCAGCUAGUUGGUGUGGGUAAUGGCCCACCAAGGCGACGACGGGUAGCCGGCCUGAGAGGGUGACCGGCCACACUGGGACUGAGAUACCGGCCCAGACCUCCGUACGGGAGCAG